GGUAGGCUAACACAUGCAGUCGAACGAGGUAGCAUACUUAGUGGCAGACGGGUGAGUAACAUAUGGGUAUCUGCCCUUUGGCCGUGGGAAUAACACGAGGAAAGUUGUGCUAAUACCGGAUAAGUCUUUACGGAGAAAGCUGUCAUGCACCAUUGGAUGAGCCCGCACUUGAUUAGUUUGUUGGUGGGGUAAUGGCCUACCAGGACUGUGAUCGAUAGCUGAUUUGAGAGGAUGAUCAGCCACAUUGGGACUGAGACACGGCCCAAACUCCUGCGGGAGGCAGCAGUGGGGAAUCUUGCACAAUGGAGGAAACUCUGAUCCAGCAAUGCCGCGUGUGUGAAGAAGGCCUGCGGGUUGUAAAGCACUUUCAGUUGGGAAGAUGAUGACGUUACCCACAGAAGAAGCACCGGCUAAAUCCGUGCCAGCAGCCGCGGUAAUACGGAGGGGGCAAGCGUUGUUCGGAAUCAUUGGGUUUAAAGGGUCCGCAGGCGGUUCAACAAGUCGGUCGUGAA
Molecule: ribosomal RNA, 512 nt
Filed under: uncultured Alphaproteobacteria bacterium
Lineage: Bacteria; Pseudomonadati; Pseudomonadota; Alphaproteobacteria
Description: bacterial SSU rRNA
Rfam family: Bacterial small subunit ribosomal RNA
Source: RNAcentral